CUGCGUGGCAUUCAAGCACCCACAGGCAAGGAGGCUGCCAAGGUCGAGGGCUGCGGAGUCCCAGGGCCCAUGAGUCCGGCCGGAGUCUGGUGUGGACACUCUGAACACACGCAGAGGCCUUGUGGCACUCACCUCAGUUACAGCCGACCACGCAGGAAUCUAGAGAGAAAGACAGGCAGGGGGUCGCUUCCUCCCCAGGAUGCUGAGGCUUCCCCAGUGUACACGGAGUGCCCCGGCUCAGUGUCAGCUGCAGCCCUUCAUCCCCAUGGGAAAUGAACGUCCGGAGAAAAGCAGGAAAAUGUGCUCAUUACCAAGGAAAUGGGAGGGGCCCCGAGUCAGAAGCUGAGAGCACUCGGGGAGGCAGGAUGGUGGCAGUGAGUGGGUGAGCCCCAAGUGCAUCUCCAGGCCGGAAAAACAAUAAACCCAUGGCUGCUGGACUUCUCACCUUACAGAAGUGCCUGUGAGAGAUUGUGGUGAGGUGCUUGGGGCAGGAAGGUCCUGGGCUGAGCCCAGAGCCUGAGCAAGCCCUCCGUGUGUGGCGUUCUUCAGCACAUGAUCCAGUUAAAAAGGGACCUGCUGACUGAAACUGUUAGAAGCCGGAAAGGUGGACUCCAAAGUGGCUGCAGCCUGGUGAAGAAGAGUGGCCAGUGACCUCCUUUCCAUCAGCCCAGGGCCUGGAUGGCAGCGAGAGCCUGAGAAGCUCCCUCGCUCACCCCACGUGUCCCCACCAGGCACUCACCUUACAUUCAUUUUUAACAUAAAGUUACCCUGGAAACGCUGGAUCCAGAAUGGU
This 793-nucleotide long non-coding RNA is filed under the name Homo sapiens (human). RNAcentral describes it as "HSALNT0355389". Lineage: Eukaryota; Metazoa; Chordata; Mammalia; Primates; Hominidae. The record is from RNAcentral.